UUUAUAUUCGUGUACUAUCGUGUACUAGAAGUCAGUUCCCGUUUUAUCAUUAUUGGAAUCGAUUGGAAUGGCUCUUAGCUGAAGCUUCUCUCUUCUCUAAAGCUUAUUCUGAAGACUGAACAACAAGGGAAGAGGUAUAAAGCUUUGUCAAGCUUGUUAAGGAGCAAUGGCUAAUAUCCAGCUAUCCCAACAGUGCUCCUCUUGGCUAUACUAACGGACGAGACUGGACAGUUUGAGACACAGGACUGGAGUAUGACCUGCUCAUUCGAGCGUUGCUGGGUAGCUCAGAGACAUCAAGAGAAUCUACGUUUUCUCAAGCAAUGAGUUACGAGUUGGGGCCUAGAAUCAGAGAAGUCCAGCAGCCUGCUAAAUCUUUUUGAAACGUAAUUUGAAGGCAUUCAAUCAUCCUGAAGUUGCCCUGGGUCACUGUAAUUGUGCUGCAGCACAACUGGCAACUCCCCAGGCCUUUGUGAAGCAGCUCCCUAUGUGCAUCUUUUGUGUACUCACUCUGUGCAUUUUCUGUGUACAAAUUUCGAUUAUUGAUUUAUUAAAUAUUUUUGCCGACCACAAA
This is a long non-coding RNA of Halichondria panicea, 571 nucleotides long. RefSeq lists it as uncharacterized. The record is from RefSeq and is a predicted model, not a curated record. The transcript has 3 exons. NCBI's taxonomy places the organism in Eukaryota, Metazoa, Porifera, Demospongiae, Suberitida, Halichondriidae.